UGGGGAAUAUUGCACAAUGGGCGCAAGCCUGAUGCAGCGACGCCGCGUGGGGGAUGACGGCCUUCGGGUUGUAAACCUCUUUCGCGCAUGACGAAGCCUGUGGGUGACGGUAGUGCGAGAAGAAGCACCGGCCAACUACGUGCCAGCAGCCGCGGUAAUACGUAGGGUGCGAGCGUUGUCCGGAAUUACUGGGCGUAAAGAGCUCGUAGGCGGUUUGUCGCGUCGUCUGUGAAAUUCUGCAACUCAAUUGUAGGCGUGCAGGCGAUACGGGCAGACUUGAGUACUACAGGGGAGACUGGAAUUCCUGGUGUAGCGGUGAAAUGCGCAGAUAUCAGGAGGAACACCGGUGGCGAAGGCGGGUCUCUGGGUAGUAACUGACGCUGAGGAGCGAAAGCGUGGGUAGCGAACA
This 409-nucleotide ribosomal RNA is filed under the name uncultured prokaryote. RNAcentral's name for it is "bacterial SSU rRNA". It matches the Rfam family "Bacterial small subunit ribosomal RNA", at positions 355 to 774 of the family's 1533-position model. The record is from RNAcentral.